AGAUGCCAGAGAUGAGGGAUUCAGUCCUGUCAGGCACUGAGACUGUGGCUUCCCAGAUCCGCUCUGGCAGUGUCAUUGUCUUCCCACAGUAUGAACUCCAGAUUGUGCAGCCUGCCAUCAAAGGACCCGCAGAGCUCACCGAAGAACAGGAGGAGGAGAAGGAUGAUAAUGGCAACAAAAAAGGGGCUCUUCCUGACAAUCGCCUUCUCUCCAGAGAGAGGCAUGCUCCACCCAAAAAGACUUCUAUCCAUAAGGAGGAAGACAAGAUGCACAAAACCAGGGGAAAAGGGCUUCCUGACAGUCCACCACCACCAAUCCAGUGGAGCUCAGUGAAGAAAGUGGAAGCCAAAAAGAAAGAAAUCCCUCGUGCUGGACCAAAACUUGUAAACUUUAUUGCUGAAGCUAUUAAGACAAAAGAGCAGAGAAGAAUCCUCCAGGUUAAGAAACGACACCAAAGAGGUCUCUGUGAACUUCAAGCUGUAGAAAGACAGGAGAAGAAAGAAUGGCAGAAGAAAGAGAAAGACAGAAGGAAAGAAAAGGAAAAAUUGGCACCACCAAUCCCUGGGAGAGGAAAGGAUAAUCUACAGAGGGCCACGAAACCCACUGUUUCUUGGGGCACCACGCAAAUCCCUUCUGCCAGCAUGAGGAGGAAGGUGACCAGCCCAGAUCUCAUAGAGGGAAUGAUGGGGAACUGGAAAGAGGAUGGCGAAUCAUCCUCAGAGAAGGAGGGUGACAACUCACUGGAGAUACCCCCAAAAAGGCCAAUUUCCCCAGGGACAAGCCAGGCCCUGCUCGAGAUAGUGACGUGCAUCCUGGGACAGGUUGACCGAAGUCGGAGGGGACACAGGCAUGAAGAGAGGGAUCGGGAAGAUAAGCUGCAGUGUGAGCUGGCUGUUUUGAAGUGGAGAAUGUGCAGGAAAAAGAAGAGCCAAGGCAAUGACACUCCUGUGGCUGGACCCCAACCUGCACAAACUAUUUGUGACAGUCCUGAGAGAGCAGGACAGGAAUUCUACUCUCUCCCUGUGAGGAAAGAUCAAAGUAAACACUGGGAAGCCUUACGUAAGAAGUACCUGAAGACAGCAAGGACAAGGUCGCCUUCAUCAACAGCAAGAAGGGAAAGGGAACAUGUGUGGAAGGCCCAGAAACCCACUGUUUCUUGGGGCACCACGCAAAUCCCUUCUGCCAGCAUGAGGAGGAAGGUGACCAGCCCAGAUCUCAUAGAGGGAAUGAUGGGGAACUGGAAAGAGGAUGGCGAAUCAUCCUCAGAGAAGGAGGGUGACAACUCACUGGAGAUACCCCCAAAAAGCAGCACCUAGAGGGACUUCUCCUGGCACCUCCCGUGGGAGGGACAGCAGCACACUUCUGAGUCUGUGGCCUUGGUCAGACAGUCCUUAACUGAAGGGGAAGUUGCUGAUGACUCAGAAUAAGAUUUCCGCUUUGGACAUAGGUGGCUGAAGACAUAAGGAUUUGCCCAACGUUCGGCUCUCCAUUUUCAGACUGGCAAGCCUGUCCUACCCUCUCAGAGUACAGACACCAAGACCCUUUGCCCUGGGGGUUGAUACCUAUUCACUCCAUCGCAGGGCUAGAGAGCCAGUCCAGCACAAUGUGAACCAGCAACUGCCAGCUGUGCUGCCAAAGCG
Molecule: RNA transcript, 1640 nt
Organism: Dromaius novaehollandiae (emu)
Lineage: Eukaryota; Metazoa; Chordata; Aves; Casuariiformes; Dromaiidae
Exons: 12
Source: RefSeq, a predicted model, not a curated record